Molecule: ribosomal RNA, 403 nt
Filed under: Fusobacteriota bacterium
Lineage: Bacteria; Fusobacteriati; Fusobacteriota
Description: Fusobacteria bacterium partial 16S ribosomal RNA
Rfam family: Bacterial small subunit ribosomal RNA
Source: RNAcentral
UGGGGAAUAUUGCACAAUGGGGGAAACCCUGAUGCAGCGACGCCGCGUGAGCGAAGAAGGUUUUCGAAUCGUAAAGCUCUGUCCUAUGGGAAGAUAAUGACGGUACCAUAGGAGGAAGCCCCGGCUAACUACGUGCCAGCAGCCGCGGUAAUACGUAGGGGGCAAGCGUUGUCCGGAAUCACUGGGCGUAAAGGGUUCGCAGGCGGAAAUGCAAGUCAGUUGUGAAAGGCAGAGGCUCAACCUCUGUAAGCAAUUGAAACUGUAUUUCUUGAGAUGUGGAGAGGCAAGUGGAAUUCCUAGUGUAGCGGUGAAAUGCGUAGAUAUUAGGAAGAAUACCGGUGGCGAAGGCGACAUGCUGGACACAAACUGACGCUGAGGAACGAAAGCGUGGGUAGCAAACAGG